RNAcentral lists this ribosomal RNA (238 nucleotides) under uncultured marine alveolate. Its description in RNAcentral is "partial 18S ribosomal RNA". It matches the Rfam family "Eukaryotic small subunit ribosomal RNA", at positions 597 to 840 of the family's 1831-position model. The record is from RNAcentral.
GCGUAUAUUAAGUUGUUGCGGUUAAAAAGCUCGUAGUUGGAUUUCUGUCGAGGACGGUCGGUCCACACUUUGUGUGAGUAUCUGAUUCGGCCUUGGCAUCCUCCUGGGGAACGUUUCUGCGCUUGAUUGCGUGGAGCGGAAUUCAGGACUUUUACUUUGAGGAAAUUAGAGUGUUCACGGCAGGCAAACGCCUUGAAUAUAUUAGCAUGGAAUAAUUAUAUAGGACCUUUUGUCUAUU